This 449-nucleotide ribosomal RNA is filed under the name uncultured bacterium. RNAcentral describes it as "partial 16S ribosomal RNA". It matches the Rfam family "Bacterial small subunit ribosomal RNA", at positions 29 to 523 of the family's 1533-position model. The record is from RNAcentral.
AACGAACGCUGGCGGCAGGCCUAACACAUGCAAGUCGAGCGAAGCCUUCGGGCUUAGCGGCGGACGGGUGAGUAACGCGUGGGAACGUGCCCUUUGGUACGGAAUAGCCCCGGGAAACUGGGAGUAAUACCGUAUGUGGUCGAGAGACGAAAGAUUUAUCGCCAAAGGAUCGGCCCGCGUUGGAUUAGGUAGUUGGUGGGGUAAUGGCCUACCAAGCCGACGAUCCAUAGCUGGUUUGAGAGGAUGAUCAGCCACACUGGGACUGAGACACGGCCCAGACUCCUACGGGAGGCAGCAGUGGGGAAUCUUAGACAAUGGGGGAAACCCUGAUCUAGCCAUGCCGCGUGAUCGAUGAAGGCCUUAGGGUUGUAAAGAUCUUUCAGUGGGGAAGAUAAUGACUGUACCCACAGAAGAAGCCCCGGCUAACUCCGUGCCAGCCGCCGCAGUAA